CCUACGGGUGGCAGCAGUGAGGAAUAUUGGUCAAUGGACGAGAUUCUGAACCAGCCAAGUAGCGUGAAGGAUGACUGCCCUAUGGGUUGUAAACUUCUUUUAUAAAGGAAUAAAACGAGGCACGUGUGCCUUUUUUCAUGUACUUUAUGAAUAAGGAUCGGCUAACUCCGUGCCAGCCGCCGCGGUAAUACGGAGGAUCCGAGCGUUAUCCGGAUUUAUUGGGUUUAAAGGGAGCGUAGAUGGGUUGUUAAGUCAGUUGUGAAAGUUUGCGGCUAAACCGUAAAAUUGAAAUUGAUACUGGCAGUCUUGAGUACAGUUGAGGUAGGCGGAAUUCGUGGUGUAGCGGUGAAAUGCUUAGAUAUCACGAAGAACCCCGAUUGCGAAGGCAGCUUACUAAACUGUGACUGACAUUGAUGCUCGAAAGUGUGGGUAUCAAACAGGAUUAGAUACCCGGGUAGUC
This 460-nucleotide ribosomal RNA is filed under the name uncultured bacterium. RNAcentral describes it as "partial 16S ribosomal RNA". It matches the Rfam family "Bacterial small subunit ribosomal RNA", at positions 338 to 795 of the family's 1533-position model. The record is from RNAcentral.